GAGGGCACGCCUGCCUGGGUGUCAC
This 25-nucleotide ribosomal RNA is filed under the name Acer rubrum (red maple). RNAcentral's name for it is "partial 5.8S ribosomal RNA". Lineage: Eukaryota; Viridiplantae; Streptophyta; Magnoliopsida; Sapindales; Sapindaceae. The record is from RNAcentral.